This 1200-nucleotide long non-coding RNA is filed under the name Struthio camelus australis. RNAcentral's name for it is "lncRNA (ENSSCUG00000014362.1)". Lineage: Eukaryota; Metazoa; Chordata; Aves; Struthioniformes; Struthionidae. The record is from RNAcentral.
GAUGUAAGAUGUAUUUUGAUACGGUCUCCUUUGCAUGCCAUGGACCUGAUGGAUGGAACAGUCUCUGCAUUUUGAUGUAGGCAGCAACAAAAAAAAUUCCACCUGGGGGAAAAAAAAAGAACAUAGAUGAGAGCUCAUAAUGCUACACUGCUGCCAAAACACUAGUGCUAUUCCCUAGUAUGCAUGGAGAUGAAUUACAAGCAACAUCAAAGGGUUGUGUUGUCACUUUCUGUAGGCUUUGUAGCAAUCAUUUCUGAAACUUGAACAGCAUUUUAAAGGAAAUUUGAACAAUGUUUUGCCAUCUUCCCUCAAGAGCCUUUUCAAAACCCAUUUUCCAUAGCACACCUACAGAAGACUACAAUUUAGGAAAACUGGAGAAGGGUGCGUGCGUGCGUGCGUGCGUGCGUGUGGUGAUCUUUGCAGCUGCUAGAGACUGCAGCUCUUCAGGGAUAAGACUGUCAUUGGUGCAAAGUCCCACCACCCUGAACACAACGGGCUGCUGAGGUGGUUGUCAUGCCGUUACCCUCAGGAUACAGCUGUCGAAUGUACUCUGCAAAGUCCCACGAUGAAAGGCAAGAUAUUCCACGGGGUCCAAAAGAGUUUGGAAAGUCUCUCGGCUCCAUAGGGAAAUCCUCACUGUAUGAUAAGUCCUAUGGGCUAAAAAAAAAAGGGGAGGGGGAAAAAUUAAGUCUCUGAGCUUUCUCCUUGGAGUCAUAAAGUUCCUGAAAAUACUGGCUUAACAUUAAGGUGGCAAUUGGAUUUGAUGAGAUGGGCGAUAAGGAAAUAGUAUCUGGGUCUUGGGGAGAAGGCGUUGGGGUGGGGUGGGGGGUGGGGAGAGAGAAGGGUGCCAUAUUGAAAAUGUCGAUGUGUAACAAUAUCUAAAUGAGCAUCUGUGGACCACGGAAUCCUGAUUUCCUAUAACCAUCUCCGCUGCAGAUUCUCUAGUGUUUAAUACAGAGAUUCUAGGCUUGGGCCUGAAGGAAACCUUGCAUACCAAAAAGUUGUGCGUUUUUUCCAACUAUAUCUGCUGCUUUAGUAAAAGCACUUCACUUCUCUACCUAUUUUCAUAACAAUUUUCUGACUAUUUUCAGACAACCUGGAGCAAGUUAAUGUAACCGAAACUUCUGAACAUCUAUCAAAUUUGAUUGAAAUUAAAACACAUGGAGUCAAAAGUUAUCAAGAAGGAUAGACUAAACACAA